This 275-nucleotide ribosomal RNA is filed under the name uncultured bacterium. Its description in RNAcentral is "partial 16S ribosomal RNA". It matches the Rfam family "Bacterial small subunit ribosomal RNA", at positions 338 to 610 of the family's 1533-position model. The record is from RNAcentral.
CCUACGGGGGGCUGCAGUGGGGAAUAUUGGACAAUGGGCGAAAGCCUGAUCCAGCCACGCCGCGUGAGUGAUGAAGGCCUUCGGGUCGUAAAGCUCUGUGGGGAGGGACGAAUGACCGGGUGAAGAGCCCGGAAUGACGGUACCUCCUUAGCAAGCACCGGCUAACUUCGUGCCAGCAGCCGCGGUAAUACGAAGGGUGCAAACGUUGCUCGGAAUCAUUGGGCGUAAAGCGCACGUAGGCGGCCUGUUAAGUCGGAUGUGAAAUCCCUCGGCUC